UACGUAGGUGACAAGCGUUGUCCGGAUUUACUGGGUGUAAAGGGCGUGUAGGCGGGAUAGCAAGUCAGUCGUGAAAUACCGAGGCUCAACCUCGGAGCUGCGAUUGAAACUGUUAUUCUUGAGUAUCGGAGAGGAAAGCGGAAUUCCCAGUGUAGCGGUGAAAUGCGUAGAUAUUGGGAGGAACACCAGUGGCGAAGGCGGCUUUCUGGACGACAACUGACGCUGAGGUGCGAAAGCGUGGGGAGCAAACAGG
RNAcentral lists this unclassified non-coding RNA (253 nucleotides) under uncultured Oscillospiraceae bacterium. RNAcentral describes it as "contains 16S-23S intergenic spacer region". It matches the Rfam family "Bacterial small subunit ribosomal RNA", at positions 524 to 776 of the family's 1533-position model. Lineage: Bacteria; Bacillati; Bacillota; Clostridia; Eubacteriales; Oscillospiraceae. The record is from RNAcentral.